RNAcentral lists this unclassified non-coding RNA (340 nucleotides) under Sonchus maritimus. Its description in RNAcentral is "partial external transcribed spacer". The record is from RNAcentral. Lineage: Eukaryota; Viridiplantae; Streptophyta; Magnoliopsida; Asterales; Asteraceae.
AACGCUCCAUGGGCCAUCAUAUCAUUGACGAGGCAACAACAAGAUGGACCACAAAGACCGCUUCAAUGUUCGUUAACGACGCACGCGACGCAUUACGAAGACAAAAUAUAAUCGAGCCAACCAAUGCCAUGGAUUAGGUAUGCAACACAGUAACCCACUAGAUGAUCAAGGCAAAACAGCCAAGAAAACAACUGAAAAGGUAAGAACGCGUAGAAGUUGCUGCGCAAGCAGACAUCCAACCACCCGUAACAAACCAAACACCACUCAUGCACCUUUAUGGUAGACAUCCCCGAAGAUCGCCCAACUAUUAGCCACCCCCUUGGCAACAAGGCCAUGAGAG